GCUCCCUUCGUCUAGUGGUUAGGACACUGGCCUCUCACGCCGGUAACAGCGGUUCGAACCCGCUAGGGAGCGCCA
RNAcentral lists this transfer RNA (75 nucleotides) under Gammaproteobacteria bacterium. RNAcentral's name for it is "tRNA-Glu". It matches the Rfam family "tRNA". From Rfam's summary of the family: Transfer RNA (tRNA) molecules are approximately 80 nucleotides in length. Their secondary structure includes four short double-helical elements and three loops (D, anti-codon, and T loops). The record is from RNAcentral. Lineage: Bacteria; Pseudomonadati; Pseudomonadota; Gammaproteobacteria.